This 1218-nucleotide ribosomal RNA is filed under the name Triticum aestivum (bread wheat). Its description in RNAcentral is "partial small subunit ribosomal RNA". The record is from RNAcentral. Lineage: Eukaryota; Viridiplantae; Streptophyta; Magnoliopsida; Poales; Poaceae.
AUGGAUUUUGAGUUGUUUAACCUAGCCUUGCUCGCUAGGCAGGCAUGGCGAAUCUUGCAAAAUCCAGACUCUUUGGGCUCCCGAAUUCUGAAAGGAAUUUACUUCUCGAAUACAACGAUGCUAGAAACCAACAUCGGUAGCAACCCGAGCCAAGGCUUGAUUAGGAGGAUAGGCAAUGGUACAAGCACUAAUAUUUGGAAUGAGAAUUGGAUCCCAAGAGAGGAAUUCAUGAGACCUUAUGGGAGCAGAUUGUCAAACCCCCCGAAAAAUGUCUCUGAACUAAUAGAUGCCUCGGCGGCGUGCUGGAACAUCCAACGGAUCAGAGAAGUUCUUCUGCCUAUAGAUAUUCCUCAUGUGCUUAGCAUCCCACUAUGCACAAUGAAUCUUCCAGACUGCUGGUGCUGGAACUUUGAAAAGAAUGGCGUGUUCUCAGUACGCUCCGCGUAUAAGAUGCUAAUUGCAACAAAGCAAAGAAGAGAAGCUUGGCUAGAAGGGACAGCAGGAACUUCGGACAUACAGCAAGAAAAGAGUUCGUGGAAGUCCAUAUGGCAUGUCAGCGUCCCUGGGAAAAUAAGGAUGUUCCUAUGGAGACUUGCGAGGCACUCUUUACCCACGGAGGAUGUCAGAGAACACCGAAACAUGGCUACUUCAAGUUCAUGCGGUUUGUGCGGUGCACAAGAUUCUUGGAGGCACUCUCUGCUGGACUACUCUAUGUCCAGGUGCAUCUGGGCACUGGCGGAUGCGGAGCUAGCGGAUCAGUUGAGGGAAUCAAGCGAGUUGAGCACUAAACAGUGGUUGUUCUCAUUACUACGCUCGUCAUCGCAUGAAGUCUGUGUGAAACUGGCAGUGACACUUUGGGCAACGUGGACAGCAAGGAAAAAGGAAAUUCACAAAGGCAUCUUCCAGAGCCCUCACGCGCAACACAGAUUCAUCAACCGCCACCUGGUUGAGCUGGAAAUAGUUAAGGAGAACCAGCAUGCAACGUCGAGAAGAGCGAUACCCAGGACGGCAGCAACGGGCAGUGCAAGGCCAAAUGCUUCGCCGGCAAGAUUUGUCAAAAUCCAUGUCGAUGCGGGGGUAUCUAAACACCAUGGAAGAGGGGCGGUAGUGGCUGUCUGCCGCGAUGACCGGGGAAACUAUUUGGGAAGCUCAACAUUGGUGGUCGAAGGAAUGCAGGACGCGGCGAUCCUUGAAUGUAUGGCGUGCAGAGAGCUUUAG